GCAGGGGUGCCCGAGCGGCCAAAGGGGGAGGACUUAAGAUCCUCUGGCGCAGGCCUUCGAGGGUUCGAAUCCCUUCCCCUGCACUA
This 86-nucleotide transfer RNA is filed under the name Methanothermobacter wolfeii. Its description in RNAcentral is "tRNA-Leu". It matches the Rfam family "tRNA". Rfam says of the family: Transfer RNA (tRNA) molecules are approximately 80 nucleotides in length. Their secondary structure includes four short double-helical elements and three loops (D, anti-codon, and T loops). The record is from RNAcentral. Lineage: Archaea; Methanobacteriati; Methanobacteriota; Methanobacteria; Methanobacteriales; Methanobacteriaceae.